AUGUCUAAUUAUUACUCGAGCCCGGGUGACGAAAGGGACCCGCAAACCAUGUACUCACCAGACACGGGAAACGCAUCAUAUCCCGUGCCGUCAGCCCUGGGGAUCUUGCUCUAUUCAAACAAUGCAUCUUCUGGACCAUAUACGGAAUUCAGUGGCAUUAUCCAGCCCCAGCAGAAUUUCAUGGAGCUGCAUGGCCAUCCUUCAGAACAUUCAUCAUCAAGGGAACCUCCUAACAUGGUCACCUCGCUUACAGAGCAAAGCUCCUUUGCUCCUGUCAAAGAUAUGAGGAAUGAGAUGUUAAUGCAUUUCAUGGAUGGUGCACAGAGUGGUGCUGGUGGUGGUGAUCUCAUCCACAAUGAUGCCCAUAGCAGUGCACAGCUUGAUUUCGGCUUGUUGAACAACCCCAGUUCGGCGAGUGUUCCAUCGGCACCAGGCCAAGGAUUGUCCCUGAGCCUCAACACGCAUAUCCUGGCACCUUCAUACCCAUACUGGUCCCCAAAGCCAGACUUGCUGACAACCCAAUCUUACCAGGGCGAUGAAAACAGAAUGAAGAAUAUGCAGUCGGAGGCCUCACGGGCAAUCAGGAAUUCGAAGUAUCUAAAGGCAGCACAAGAAUUGCUUGAUGAGAUUGUCAGUGUUUGGAAGAGUAUAAAGCAGAACGCGCAGAAAGACAAGGUUGAAGCAGGAAAAAUGGAUGGCAAAGAUGCCGAUGAGGUGUUGAAAAGUGAGGGGGUAUCUUCCAAUCCACAGGAGUCUACUGCCAAUGCGGAACCUGAGAUUUCUGCAGCUGAGAAACAAGAGCUCCAGAAUAAGAUGGCGAAACUUUUGGCCAUGCUGGAUGAGGUUGACCGAAAGUACAAGCAUUAUUUCCAUCAAAUGCAAAUUGUAGUGUCGUCUUUCGAUAUGAUUGCUGGGUCUGGAGCUGCCAAACCUUAUACUGCAGUUGCCCUUCAGACAAUAUCGCGGCACUUCCGAUGUCUGAAGGAUGCUAUCAACGACCAGGUUAAUGUUAUCCGAAAGAAACUGGGAGAGGAGGAUAGUUCAUCGGGCAGAGAGGGCAAGUUAACUCGCCUCCGUUACAUUGAUCAGCAGUUAAGGCAACAACGAGCUUUCCAACAGUAUGGUAUGUUACCGCAAAAUGCCUGGAGGCCACAGAGGGGACUGCCUGAAAACUCAGUUUCAAUUCUUCGUGCUUGGCUGUUUGAACACUUCCUUCACCCGUAUCCAAAAGAUUCAGAAAAGCUAAUGCUAGCGAGGCAAACUGGUUUAACAAGAAGUCAGAUUUCGAACUGGUUCAUCAAUGCCCGUGUCCGCCUAUGGAAACCGAUGAUCGAAGACAUGUAUAAAGAAGAGACCGGGGAGGCAGAGCUCGACUCAAACUCCUCCUCGGACAACUUACCAAGAAGCAAGGACAAAAUGGCGUCUUGUGAAGACAAGGAAGAUCUGAAAUGCUCCAUGAGCCAGGGCCAGGCUUACCAAACAAGUGAGUUCAAAGCCAACAUGGAGAUGGCGGGUCUCACCGGAGCGCCGCCCAGCUUCCACAGCGAGGCAAACUCCGACGACGGCUUCAUGAACCUGCUGCUGAAGGACCAAAGACCGGGCGAGGCGGACGGCGGUCUCCUCCAUGGCGACGAGAGCGCGCGGUUCAUGGCCUACCAUUUGGCGGAGCUCGGGGGAUACCAGAACAGCAACGUGUCGUUGACGCUAGGACUGCAGCACGCCGAGAACAGCCUCUCAGCUCCGAACGCUCACCGGCCAGGGUUCACGGCCGGCGGAGGGGAAGAGGAUAUCUACAACACCACCGGGGCUCAUCCCGGCGGUGGCGACGCCGUGGCCUCUUCGGACUACGAGCCGACGAACCAGCUGGAUCAACGGCAGCAGUUCGAGCCGUCGCCCCUGCUGCACGAUUUCGUGGCCUGA
RNAcentral lists this ribosomal RNA (1920 nucleotides) under Triticum aestivum (bread wheat). RNAcentral's name for it is "partial small subunit ribosomal RNA". The record is from RNAcentral. Lineage: Eukaryota; Viridiplantae; Streptophyta; Magnoliopsida; Poales; Poaceae.